GUGCUCGCUUCAGCAGCACAUAUACUAAAAUUGGAACGUACAGAGAAGAUUAGCAUGGCCCCUGUGCAAAGAUGACAUGCAAAUUCAUGAAACGUUCCAUAUUAAA
This 106-nucleotide small nuclear RNA is filed under the name Jaculus jaculus (lesser Egyptian jerboa). The record is from RNAcentral. Lineage: Eukaryota; Metazoa; Chordata; Mammalia; Rodentia; Dipodidae.